CUCCAAACAGCAUCUCACCACCUGCAGACAAGUCCGUCGCAGUUUUCAGGUUUUGUUCCAGGAAAUGAAACAUCAAACACCAACCAGGUCUUGCUUCCUCUCAAAGAGAAUUUACCAAAGACCCGCUGGGAAAGGAGAGGUAACAAUCAUAGCGACAACAAGGACUGCUGUUUUCAGUUUUACGGGCUACAGCUGCUGCUUUACCUUUGGCUGCUCCCAAAUUUCUUUUUUCGGUCCAUGUGAGGUUAGGUUUACAUUGAAGAAUUGUGCUAUUAAAGAUAAUGAACCCGACAGAUUGGUUAUGGCAAAGGAAACAAGAUGAAGCUCAAUGGUAGGGAACUAGCAUUGAUGACCGAAGUUCCAAGCCAACUAACUAUAGUAUUCAAGCAGAAGGAUAGGAAAAGCCUUAGGGCCACAAACCUUAGUAGGAUCAAUGAUACCA
This 442-nucleotide unclassified non-coding RNA is filed under the name Zea mays. Its description in RNAcentral is "misc RNA Zm00001eb268920". The record is from RNAcentral. Lineage: Eukaryota; Viridiplantae; Streptophyta; Magnoliopsida; Poales; Poaceae.